Acinonyx jubatus (cheetah) is the source of this 5684-nucleotide long non-coding RNA. RefSeq lists it as uncharacterized. NCBI's taxonomy places the organism in Eukaryota, Metazoa, Chordata, Mammalia, Carnivora, Felidae. The record is from RefSeq and is a predicted model, not a curated record. The transcript is spliced from 2 exons.
GAUGGGUGUUUCACAGAUGUAAAUAGGGGUACAAUUUAAAUUACUGCAAUUAACUAAAAGAGAAACAAGGUGCAUGUGGCCGGCUCAGUUGGAAGAGCUUGCGACUCUUGAUCUCGAGGUCAUGAGUUCGAGCCCCAUGUUGGCUGUAGAGAUUACUUAAUUAAAAAAAAAAAAAAAAGCAACAAGUGAAGUAAUGAAGAGACAUAAUGGCAGAACUCAUAUCCCACCAUCAUACCAUUCCACUCCCACCCCAUCUUGUAACAGCCUGAUCUAUGUAUCCCUAUUUUUGUUCAUCCAGAUAGGUGUACACAAAUACUACACAGGGUUUUGUCUUACUCUACAUGUUCUCUGCAACUUGCUUUUAAAAUUUAAUGUGUAUUUUGAGCACCUUCAAGUCCAUACAUAGACUUCUUUUAAAUUCCUUAAUCUACACACACACACUCCCGUGUAAAUGAAAUGAGAUUUUUUUUGGUGCGUCUGUUUGCUGUAAAUAAGUGGGAUAACACAUACCCUGUGCAUCUUUUCUCAUCCAAAAAUGUGUGAUGGAAAUCCCUCCAAGUCUGUCUCAUAGCUGUUAUUUCAUUCUUCUGAAUGCUGUAUAAUACUCUAUGAUGAUGACUUAAACUUCUUCUCUAAUUAAUGGACAUGUACUUUGCUACCGGAUUUUCACUAUUAUGGUAACUAUGCCUGUGCACAUACUCAUGACCAUGAUGGUGUCACUUCUGUGGAGUAGAUUGCCUGCAGUAGGAUUGCUGGUUGACAGCUACAUAGAUUUAAAUUUUUUUAAUAACUAUUGACAGAUUAUUUCCCAAAAAGGCUGGAGCAAUUUAUAUCUUCAUCAGUAAAUGUACAGUAUAAAAAUUACCCAUGCCCUUCAUCCCCACUAGGGAUGUUGUAUCAUUUUAAAAAAGAAGAAAAAAAAGACUGGUGUGUGUAUAAUGAUUUCUCAGUAUUACUUUAUUUGCAUUUUACCUAAUUAUUGUAAAUCUGCAUAACUUUUCAUAUGUUCUUUGGUUAUUUGGGUUUCACUCAUAAUUAAAUUACCUUUUGUAUUUUCUAUUGCUGUAUAACCGAUUAGCACCAAUUUAGCAGCUUAAAGUGAUACCUGUUUAUUAUCUCACAGUUAUAUGGGUUAGAACUUCAAGCAGGCUUGACUGGGCUCUUUGUUUACUGUCUGAUAAGGCUGAAAUGAAGGUGGGUGCCAGUCUGAGCUCUUAACUGAAGGAUCUGGGGAAGAAUUCACUUCCAAGCUCAUUCAUGUUGUUGGCAGAAUCUGAAUCCUUAAAACUGUAGGACGGUUGUAGAUGGAGGGCUCUGUUUUCUUGCAGGCUGUCAGCCAGAGGUUGAUCUCAGCUUUUAGACGUUACUCUCCAAUCCUUGUACAUGACCCCUCCCAUCUUCCAAGUUAGCAAGGAUUCAUCAAGAUCCUUCUCAUCCUUGACUUUCUCUGCUUUUUCUUCUGCUGCAAGCCAGAGAAAACUCUGCUUUUAAAGGACUUAUGUACCUAGGGCGAACCCACCCAGAUAAUUUCUGUAUGUUAAGGUCUACUGGUUAGUAACCUUAAUUAAGUCUACAGACUCCCUUUGCUCUGUAAAUGUAGCAUUGUCAUGGGAGGAACAUCAGGGUGAAAGAUUAUGGGGGCCAUCUUAGAAUUCUGCCCUACCACAAAUCUUCAUAUUUUUAUUUAUAUCUUUAUAUUUGUGUCCAUGUUUCUAUUGUGUUUGCCUUUUUAUUUAGUUUGUAGGAGGUUUUUGUAUAUUACAUCUAUUAAGCCUUCCUACUCUUGGUUGCAAAUAGUUUUACCAACUCAUUUAUAAGUUGUCUAUUGACCACUAAUAUUAUUAAGUACUUUUUCCACAGAAAACUUAGCCAUUUGGAUUUCCCUCUUAAGGUGAAUUGCAUAUUUGUAUUUUUUAAUUCACAUUUAAAAUUUUUACUCAUUUUUUCAUUUACUUGAUUUUUAUUAACAUUUUGCCCAUAUGUGCACUGUCUUUUAAAAAAAUUUUAAGCACUCUUUCAAUCAUUAUAUGUAAAUGCUUCAUCAUAUUAUUUGCAAAUUUUCUCCAAAUCUGUCAUCAUUUACCAUAUUUAUAAUACAUUUUCCCAUUAAAAACUUUAUAUUAGUAUAUACUCAAGUAUAUUAAUUUACAAAAUGUGAACACUUAUAAAUACAUAAAAAUUUCAAAGUAUUCUGUAUUGAUUAAGGCCUUCACUUCUGAGUGACGUGUGUAGUCUCCUAGAAUGUCUUCUACAUUUCAUUUUUGUUGUUAGUGUUUUUUCACAUUGUUUUUACUCCAUUUGGAAUUUGGUUUUGUAUAGAACGCCAGCUAUGGACCCAACUCUCCUUUCUUCCACGUGGGUUGCCAGUUGUUCCAGCACUUUUUAUUAAAUUAUCCUUUAACAAUGAAAUGAAAUACCAACUUUGUCAUAUAUUAAAUUUUCAUAUAUAAUGAGAUUUCUCAAUAUACUGUGCUGUUUCACUAAUAGUACUCUUUAUAUGUGGCAAUAUCACACUGAUUUAAUUACAGUGGCUUUAUGUAUAGUCAUACAGUGGCUUCAUAAAAUGGUCAGGCAGAACUUUUUCCCACCCCACGGUCCUGCAUACUGUUCUUUUCACUACCUUUCUUGGCUAUUAUCAGGCAUUUCAAGUUUGUGAUCAUUUUAUCCAAUUAGGGGUUGAAAUUCCAUUAAAUUUAAAAAUUAAUUUGGGGAAAUUUGACAUAUGAUAUUAUCUUCUGUUUUUAUUUUUAUUUUUAAAUUUAAUUUAUUUUUGAUAGAGAGCACAAGUGGGGGAGGGGCAGAGAGAGAAGGAGACACAGAAUCCAAAGCAGGCUCCAGGCUCCGAGCUGUCAGCACAGAGCCUGAUGCGGGGCCAGAACCCACAAAUUGUGAGAUCAUGACCUGAGCCAAGGUCGGACGCUCAGCCGACUGAGCCACCCAGGCUUCCCGCCAUAUGAUAUGUCUUCUAAGAACUAACAAAAUUAUAUCAUUUUCUGUUUGCUCAGAUCUUGUCUAUAUCAUUAGAAUGAUUAAGAUUUGAGAGUUUUCUUCACUUAAGUCCUGUGUCUUUUUUUUACUAAAUGUAGUCUUGUUCCUUAGUUUUUUGGUCAUUAUUAAGAACGGAUUUUUUUCCCCCAUUUUCAUUUCUAAAGGCUUAUUACAAAGAAAAAGCCUAUUUUUUUUCCUGUGUGCUUAAACCUUAUAUGUAACAGAUUUAUUAUAUAUACUUACUAAAUUUUCUCAUGAAGUUUUCACUAGGGACUCUCUUGGGACUUUUAGAAAUAUAAUGAUGAUACAAAUAUUAUGAUACACGAAAUCACAAAAAUAACUCGUUUUUUUUUAAUAUUAGAAAUAUUCUUUUCCUCUCUAGAAUCUUUAUUGUCUAGAAACUCUAUUAUAGUGUUGAAUGGUAAUGGUGAUAGCCAGCACCUCUGUCACGGAUUUUAAUUGAAGUAGUUUAUUGAGCUGUUUCGAAUAUUCAUGUUGCUUUUUGGUAAAUAAUCUUAUCUAAACAAAUUCUUGUUUUACCAAGACAUUUUAUCAGAAAAUGCUGCUGAAUUUUGUCAAAUGCCUUUUCAGCCUUUUUUGAUGUGGUUUUGUGUUAGUCUUCUUUAAUCUGUUGACUACUUAGAUUACAUUGGAGCUGCUGAUAUUAAGCCACUCUUGUCUCCUUGGAAUAAAACCUACUUGGUCAUAAUGUGUUAUUCUUUUUUUUUUUUUUUUUUUUUUUUAUAAAUCAGUAUUCCAGUUGCUAAUAUUUUAUUUAGAAUUUCAGCAUGCAUAUUCAUACAUGAGAUUAGUCUAUAGGUUUCUUUAGUGGUCUGUUUUUAUUAGGUAUAAAAAGUUAUGCAGGUUGACAAAAUGUGGGACUAAUCAGAAGGCUCGCCCACUGUGGUUGAGAAUGCAAAUUUAUUCAAAUGUGUUAGAAAACCACUUGGCUGAAUCUACUGACGUGAAAAUAUAAAAUCUAGUAAUUCUGCUUCUGGGCAAACACCCAAUAAAAUGCAUACAUAUGUUUACCAAAAGACAUGUUCUAGAAUGUUUAUAGCAACAUUAUUAGCAAUAGCUUCAAACCAGGAACUACCUAAAAGUCCAUCUACUAUAGCAUGGAUAAAUACAUUUUUGUGUUCAUACAGUGGAAUAUUAUACAGCAACAAGAAUGAACAGUUUGUAAGCACAUGCAAUAUAUGGAUGAAUCUCAGAAACGUUAUGUCGAGCCUUAAAAGGCAGAUAUAAAAAGAAUACUGUGUGCUUGCCUUUUUAUAAGUGCAAAAACAGGCAAAACUAAUCUGUUAACUGUUAGAAGACAGGAGCGUGGUUAUCUUCAGUGAGAGAUAAGUAGAGGGGGAGGUAGUGUCUGAAAGAGUUUGAGGGGGAUUCUGCAGUGCUGGUAACAUUUUGUGUCUUUGUCUAGGUGCCUGUUUAUGUUCGAUUGUUUAGGUCAUGGAAACUCAUCUACUUUACACUUACAUGUACACUUUUCUGUAUGUAUUUUAUACUUGAAUAAAAUGUUUUUAGAAAGCAAUACUUGUUUCAUAGAAUGAAUUGGGGAGAUUUCAUCUUUUUCUACAGUUUAGAAUUGUUUAAGAGGUCUUUGAAAUUAUAUGUUAAAGAUUAGAUGAAACUUGGCUGAGAGACUUUCGGUCCUGAGGCCUUCUUGUUUAGAGGUAGGAUUUUUCAUUGCUUUUCUACCUUUGGUUCAAAAUAUUCACUUCUUGAAUUAAUUCUGAUAAUUUAUAUUUUGUAGGAAAUACUUCAUUUUUUUGUAGGUUUUCACAUUUAUUUUCUAUAGAUCUGUGUUUUUAUGUUUCUUGUAAUUUCUUCAGUGUGUGGUAUUAUGGUUUUUAUUCUUUUUAUCCAAGGAUUAUCUAUCUGUGUUUCUUAAUUUUCAAGGAGUUCAGGAAAAGCAGUACUAAUUUUUCACAUUCAGUUCCUCUUGGCAAGUUGAAGGGUGAGGAGGAAACAAUCAAGGUGGAUCAAGAAUUUGCUCAGAAUCCCAUCUGAAGAUUCCUGGAUCAGAGGAGCAAAGGAAAUCUGCCCAGUGGCCCUCCAGCAGAUUUCUCCAUGUAUCUCACUGGCCACAACAUUGCCUCUCUACCUUUAAUGGAUGUUGAGAAAGUGAGUAUCUCACUGUUCAGCUUCUGUAGUAGGAGAUGGCAGUGAGAAGUCAAUUUCAAAUGGCUUUUGGGUUAGACAACAAAUGUUCCCUCUCACAACUACCCCAUUAGCCAGGAACCUCUUUAAUCACUCAUUUCUAUUUUGCAUUUGCCCUCAUUUCUCCUCUCUCGCCCUGAUUAUGAAAAGAAAUAUAUGUGGCUUGUGGAUGCUGAGUCCUAAUUUUCCAAUUCUUGAGAACAGUGCCUCAAAUCGCCUUCCAAAUGAGACAUUUGCUUUCUCCAUGGGAUAUUACAGUCAUUCUAAUCUUGUUUGUUCAUUCCCAGUUUUGAAUUCACUCACUCUCUGAAGAACCAUCAAACAAACCCUGAUAAGUAGGCUUUCUUUCACACAAAUCCUGAAGAACUCUGUUGUCUUAGAUAUAGCCUGGAGUUUGUCUCUAAGGUUAAGUUUCAUAUCAGUUGGUACAUAACUCUUCUUGAAUUCUUUCUGCACCAAGAGGAUUACAUUUUACAUCUUAGAAGAAGUCGGUUUGUUUUCCUAAAGAUGCUAUAAAAAAAAAGAAAACA